This 492-nucleotide ribosomal RNA is filed under the name uncultured bacterium. RNAcentral describes it as "partial 16S ribosomal RNA". It matches the Rfam family "Bacterial small subunit ribosomal RNA", at positions 29 to 507 of the family's 1533-position model. The record is from RNAcentral.
AGUGAACGCUGGCGGUAGGCCUAACACAUGCAAGUCGAACGGCAGCACAGUAAGAGCUUGCUCUUACGGGUGGCGAGUGGCGGACGGGUGAGGAAUACAUCGGAAUCUACUUUUUCGUGGGGGAUAACGUAGGGAAACUUACGCUAAUACCGCAUACGACCUACGGGUGAAAGCAGGGGAUCUUCGGACCUUGCGCGAUUGAAUGAGCCGAUGUCGGAUUAGCUAGUUGGCGGGGUAAAGGCCCACCAAGGCGACGAUCCGUAGCUGGUCUGAGAGGAUGAUAGCCCACCGGGGAACGGAAACAGGUUCAGGCCCCCUGGGGGAGGCGCCAGGGGGAAAUGUUGGACAGGGGGGGCAGGCUUGACCCACCCAUCCCGGGGGGGGAAAAAAGGCUUUGGGGUUUUAAGGCCUUUUUGUGGGGAAAAAAAAGCAGGAGUUAAUUACCUUGCUUUUGUGAGGGAACCCAAAAAAUAAGCACCGGCAAAUUUGGGG